GCAUAUCAAUAAGCGGAGGAAAAGAAACCAACAGGGAUUACCUCAGUAACGGCGAGUGAAGCGGUAAAAGCUCAAAUUUGAAAUCUGGCUCUUUUAGAGUCCGAGUUGUAAUUUGUAGAAGAUGCUUCGGGUGUGGUUCCGGUCUAAGUUCUUUGGAACAGGACGUCAUAGAGGGUGAGAACCCCGUAUGUGACUGGAUACCUAUGCUCAUGUGAAGCUCUUUCGACGAGUCGAGUUGUUUGGGAAUGCAGCUCAAAAUGGGUGGUAUAUUUCAUCUAAAGCUAAAUAUUGGCCAGAGACCGAUAGCGCACAAGUAGAGUGAUCGAAAGAUGAAAAGCACUUUGGAAAGAGAGUUAAACAGUACGUGAAAUUGUUGAAAGGGAAGCGCUUGCAAUCAGACUUGCACUUGGUGUUCAUCAGGGGUUCUUCCCCUGUGUACUUCAUCAAGUUCAGGCCAGCAUCAGUUUGAGUGGUUAGAUAAAGGCUUAGAGAACGUGGCCCUCUUCGGGGGGUGUUAUAGCUCUAGGUGCAAUGUAGCCUACUUGGACUGAGGACCGCGCUUCGGCUAGGAUGCUGGCGUAAUGGUUGUAAGCGACCCGUCUUGAAACACGGACCAAGGAGUGUACCUAAUAUGCGAGUGUUUGGGUGUUAAACCCAUACGCGUAAUGAAAGUGAACGGAGGUGAGAACCCUUAAGGGUGCAUCAUCGACCGAUCCUGAUGUCUUCGGAUGGAUUUGAGUAAGAGCAUAUUGGGUGCGACCCGAAAGAUGGUGAUCUUUACGUGAAUAGGGUGAAGCCAGAGGAAACUCUGGUGGAGGCUCGCAGCGGUUCUGACGUGCAAAUCGAUCGUCAAAUUUGCGUAAAGGGGCGAAAGACUAAUCGAACCAUCUAGUAGCUGGUUCCUGCGA
RNAcentral lists this ribosomal RNA (908 nucleotides) under Sclerotinia sulcata. Its description in RNAcentral is "LSU rRNA". It matches the Rfam family "Eukaryotic large subunit ribosomal RNA", at positions 38 to 963 of the family's 3401-position model. The record is from RNAcentral. Lineage: Eukaryota; Fungi; Ascomycota; Leotiomycetes; Helotiales; Sclerotiniaceae.